AAAAGAACGAAGAGAGAUGACCGAGAAAGAAAGGAGAGAGAUAAGAGGAAUAUGGGCAACUGAACAGUUUACUAAAAAUUCAGAUUGAAUCUAUAAAAAUUAAAACAAUAACUUAUUUUUAUAAAAAUGCAAAAUCUAGUGAAUUUUUUAUGUAAACUAUAUUUUUAAGUAGAAAAAUGAUUAUGAUAAAUGUAUGGAUAUAAAAAUAACUUUGGGUGAUUAAGCUAGCUAGCCAUCAUUAUCCUGCUUUUCCCCACCUUCGCCCUUGCUUAUUCUAUACGGCAUAUGUGCUGUUAUUAUUAAGUAACUUUCGAUAAAGAGCAUAUACUGUUCUAAAGAAGCUUUAUAUAAAGAAGCAUGUGUCAUACAGAAGCUUCCUACAAAGAAAAAGGAGAAAUGAUCAAUCAUUGUUAUUGUGAAGGUACCAAUUACUGCAUACACGCAAAUCAUGCUUCUGUAUGUCCAUGUAUUGUGCAUUAUUUAUACAUAUUUUUUGCAACUUCCACCAUCUUUAAUGCAGCUGGUUUAAUUUCAUUAAAUAAAAAAAUUGCAAAUGAAUACCAAAAGUUUAGAUUAAGAUCCUCCUUUGCUUACGGUCUGUUUGGUUCAACGGAAACUGUGAAAAAUAAUUUUCAAUAGAAAAUUUUUUCCGUGGAAAUAAAAUUUUAUAUUUUUUAUUGUUUGAUUUAUAGAAAAAAAAAAGCAUAGUUUCCAGCCAUGUUUGUUUCAUUGAAAGAAAAAAUUUAAAUGAAAAAUAUUUUUAUAUAAUUUUUUAUUAUAUAUUAUAUGAGUAUUAUUUAUAUAACUAACGACCAUAUAUAUUAUUAUAUAUAUUACAAUUAAAUUUAUAUCUAUAUUUUAUAACCAUCAUCAUCAUCAUCAUCUAUAUUUAUAAUUUAAAUAUAUUCAAAAUUAAACUAUGUAUUCAAAAUUAUGUUAUAUAAUAUAUAUAUUAUAUAACAAAUUAUAUAUAAAACAUAAUAUAUAAAAAUAUAUAUGUGUAUAUAUAUAUAUAAUAUGAAUUGAGCUCUUAUGCAUUUGAAAGUAUUAAGUCAUUGGUGCUUAUAAAUUUUCGGCCCUUGUAUUAAGGGAUAUGCGGUUAGGAUGAUGUGGGCCCUCUAGGGUUGAGUGGGUGGCUGGUUGAAUAGUAUAAUCUAACGGAUAAAAAUGAUCAAAGGCGUAGAUCUAACAGUAAAAAAUUUACAAGCACCAAGUGCUUGGUGCUGUUACAAGCACCAUAGCCGAACUCACAUAAUAUAACAUAUAUAUAGUAUAUAGAGUGUAGAACUACUAUACUAUUAGAAGCAUAUGUACGUAAGGAGUGGGUGCUUCUGACUUUUUGACCCUUGAAAUAAGAAUUGUAGGUUAGGAUAAUGUUAGUGGUUUCUUAGGAUAAUAGUAUUAAUUCAAGAAUUAGAAAUGUUCAAAGAGGUUGGUUCAAAAAUUAAAAAAUUAGAAGCACUACGUGAGUGGUGCUUCCGAAAGGAGCAUAGUCAGACUUAUAUAGAUAUAUAUUUAUAAAUAAAAUAUUAUAUUAUGACGCCCCAACUUCUCAGGGAGUCAUUUAUCGUAGGACUACUUUCGUCAUAACACGCUUAACUCUCUUAAUCUAUUAGGUCUAGCCAAUGCCCAAAAUGCUUAUGCCGGAUUAAGAAUUUUAGUUCUAUUAUAUCUUAUAUAUAUAUAUAUAGAACUAUUCGGGAUCUCACAUAUAUAAUAGUAUAUUAAUAUAAUAAA
This 1737-nucleotide long non-coding RNA is filed under the name Ananas comosus (pineapple). RNAcentral describes it as "long non-coding RNA (ACOM_LNC004800)". The record is from RNAcentral. Lineage: Eukaryota; Viridiplantae; Streptophyta; Magnoliopsida; Poales; Bromeliaceae.